RNAcentral lists this ribosomal RNA (424 nucleotides) under uncultured cyanobacterium. RNAcentral describes it as "bacterial SSU rRNA". It matches the Rfam family "Bacterial small subunit ribosomal RNA", at positions 356 to 795 of the family's 1533-position model. The record is from RNAcentral. Lineage: Bacteria; Bacillati; Cyanobacteriota.
GGGGAAUUUUCCGCAAUGGGCGAAAGCCUGACGGAGCAAUGCCGCGUGGAGGAGGAAGGCCCGAGGGUUGUAAACUCCUUUUCUCAGAAAAGAAGAUCUGACGGUAUCUGAGGAAUAAGCAUCGGCUAACUCCGUGCCAGCAGCCGCGGUAAGACGGAGGAUGCAAGCGUUAUCCGGAAUGAUUGGGCGUAAAGCGUCUGUAGGUGGUUUAUUAAGUCUGCUGUUAAAGCACAGGGCUCAACCCUGUAUAGGCGGUAGAAACUGGUAGGCUUGAGUAUGGUAGGGGUAGAGGGAACUCCCGAUGUAGUGGUGAAAUGCGUUGAUAUCGGGAAGAACACCAAAGGCGAAAGCACUCUGCUGGGCCAAUACUGACACUAAGAGACGAAAGCUAGGGGAGCAAAUGGGAUUAGAUACCCCAGUAGUC